GAUGAACGCUAGCUAUAGGCUUAACACAUGCAAGUCGAGGGGAAACGGCAUUAUGUGCUUGCACAUUUUGGACGUCGACCGGCGCACGGGUGAGUAUCGCGUAUCCAACCUGCCCUUUACUUGGGGAUACCCCGUUGAAAGACGGCCUAAUACCCGAUGUAAUUCAUUGAUGGCAUCAGAUAUGAAUAAAAGAUUUAUCGGUAAAGGAUGGGGAUGCGUCUGAUUAGCUUGUUGGUGAGGUAACGGCUCACCAAGGCGACGAUCAGUAGGGGUUCUGAGAGGAAGGUCCCCCACAUUGGAACUGAGACACGGUCCAAACUCCUACGGGAGGCAGCAGUGAGGAAUAGUGGUCAAUGGGCGCAAGCCUGAACCAGCCAAGUAGCGUGCAGGAAGACGGCCCUAUGGGUUGUAAACUGCUUUUAUACGAGAAUAAUUUGAUGCAUGUGUGCGUUAUUGCAUGUAUCGUAGGAAUAAGGACCGGCUAAUUCCGU
This 491-nucleotide ribosomal RNA is filed under the name uncultured bacterium. RNAcentral describes it as "partial 16S ribosomal RNA". It matches the Rfam family "Bacterial small subunit ribosomal RNA", at positions 28 to 506 of the family's 1533-position model. The record is from RNAcentral.